CCGAGUUUACAACUCCCAAACCCAAUGUGAACGUUACCAAACUGUUGCCUCGGCGGGGUCACGCCCCGGGUGCGUCGCAGCCCCGGAACCAGGCGCCCGCCGGAGGGACCAACCAAACUCUUUCUGUAGUCCCCUCGCGGACGUUAUUCUUACAGCUCUGAGCAAAAAAUUCAAAAUGAAUCA
Molecule: unclassified non-coding RNA, 183 nt
Filed under: uncultured Trichoderma
Lineage: Eukaryota; Fungi; Ascomycota; Sordariomycetes; Hypocreales; Hypocreaceae
Description: sequence contains ITS1
Source: RNAcentral